RNAcentral lists this ribosomal RNA (274 nucleotides) under uncultured bacterium. RNAcentral's name for it is "partial 16S ribosomal RNA". It matches the Rfam family "Bacterial small subunit ribosomal RNA", at positions 524 to 796 of the family's 1533-position model. The record is from RNAcentral.
UACGUAGGUGGCAAGCGUUGUCCGGAAUUAUUGGGCGUAAAGCGCGCGCAGGCGGUUCCUUAAGUCUGAUGUGAAAGCCCACGGCUCAACCGUGGAGGGUCAUUGGAAACUGGGGGACUUGAGUGCAGAAGAGGAGAGCGGAAUUCCACGUGUAGCGGUGAAAUGCGUAGAGAUGUGGAGGAACACCAGUGGCGAAGGCGGCUCUCUGGUCUGUAACUGACGCUGAGGCGCGAAAAGCGUGGGGGAGCAAAACAGGAUUAGACCCGCGUAGUCC